AUGAAGGGGUCCAGGAUGCGGACGGGUCGGUGUACGCCCUGGAGGACGGCAGGAGGGGCGGAGAGCACCCGGACGCACAGGCGACCAUGGCCGGCUUCGGACAGGAUUUCUACGACGAGCAGGGAGUAUUCUCUGAGAGUUUUUGGCCGCAGAGCGAGCCGCCCCAGGCCAUGCCGUUCAACCCCAGAGGACGCGUCAACAAGCCCCUGACUCCGCCCCCAACCUCCCAAUCCAUGAACAACCCGCUCCUAUUCCAGUACCCAGUGAGCCAAUCGCAGCCCGCGCCGUACUUCGUAGGUGGACCGAUGCAGGGGAUGGACGGCAUGG
Molecule: long non-coding RNA, 327 nt
Filed under: Neogobius melanostomus (round goby)
Lineage: Eukaryota; Metazoa; Chordata; Actinopteri; Gobiiformes; Gobiidae
Description: lncRNA (ENSNMLG00000006027.1)
Source: RNAcentral